This 361-nucleotide RNase P RNA is filed under the name Rhodocyclaceae bacterium. Its description in RNAcentral is "RNase P RNA component class A". It matches the Rfam family "Bacterial RNase P class A". From Rfam's summary of the family: Ribonuclease P (RNase P) is a ubiquitous endoribonuclease, found in archaea, bacteria and eukarya as well as chloroplasts and mitochondria. Its best characterised activity is the generation of mature 5'-ends of tRNAs by cleaving the 5'-leader elements of precursor-tRNAs. Lineage: Bacteria; Pseudomonadati; Pseudomonadota; Betaproteobacteria; Rhodocyclales; Rhodocyclaceae. The record is from RNAcentral.
GAAGUCCGCCAGGCAGCCGCUGGAUGAGCAAUCAUCUGGAGGAAAGUCCGGGCCCCAUAGAGCAGGAUGCCGGCUAACGGCCGGGCGCAGCAAGUCGCAAGACCCAAGGCGACAGACAGUGCAACAGAAACAUACCGCUAACACUCGCAAGAGUGCAGUAAGGGUGAAAUCGUGCGGUAAGAGCGCACGGUCGUACUGGUAACAGUUACGACGGGCAAACCUCAUCCGGGGCAAGGCCAAAUAGGGGAGCAUUGACGUGGCUCGCGUCGCUCCCGGGUAGGCUGCUAGAGGCCGUCAGCAAUGGCGGUCCCAGAGGAAUGGCUGCCCACGACAGAACCCGGCUUAUCGGCGGACUUCCACC